RNAcentral lists this ribosomal RNA (492 nucleotides) under uncultured bacterium. Its description in RNAcentral is "partial 16S ribosomal RNA". It matches the Rfam family "Bacterial small subunit ribosomal RNA", at positions 29 to 507 of the family's 1533-position model. The record is from RNAcentral.
AGUGAACGCUGGCGGUAGGCCUAACACAUGCAAGUCGAACGGCAGCACAGUAAGAGCUUGCUCUUACGGGUGGCGAGUGGCGGACGGGUGAGGAAUACAUCGGAAUCUACUUUUUCGUGGGGGAUAACGUAGGGAAACUUACUCUAAUACCGCAUACGACCUACGGGUGAAAGCAGUGGAUCUUCGGACCUUGCGCGAUUGAAUGAGCCGAUGUCGGAUUAGCUAGUUGGCGGGGUAAAGGCCCACCAAGGCGACGAUCCGUAGCUGGUCUGAGAGGAUGAUCAGCCACACUGGAACUGAGACACGGUCCAGACUCCUACGGGAGGCAGCAGUGGGGAAUAUUGGACAAUGGGCGCAAGCCUGAUCCAGCCAUACCGCGUGGGUGAAGAAGGCCUUCGGGUUGUAAAGCCCUUUUGUUGGGAAAGAAAAGCAGCAGGUUAAUACCCCGCUGUUCUGACGGUACCCAAAGAAUAAGCACCGGCUAACUUCGUG